UUCCGGUUGAUCCUGCCGGACCCUACUGCUAUCGGGGUGGGACUAAGACAUGCGAGUUGAGCGUCUCUAAGCCAUGGUAGAGACGCGGCGUACGGCUCAGUAACACGUGGCUAACCUACCCUUAGGACGGGGACAACCCCGGGAAACUGGGGCUAAUACCCGAUAGGCGAGGAGGCCUGGAAUGGUUUUUAGUCGAAAAGGCGUUGAAACCAUGCUUUUCGACGUUGCCUAAGGAUGGGGCCGCGCCCGAUCAGGUUGUUGGUGGGGUAACGGCUCACCAAGCCUAUAACCGGUACGGGCCGUGAGAGCGGGAGCCCGGAGAUGGGCACUGAGACAAGGGCCCAGGCCCUACGGGGCGCAGCAGUCGCGAAAACUCCGCAAUGCGCGAAAGCGUGACGGGGCUACCCCGAGUGCCGUCCGCUGAGGAUGGCUUUUCCCCGGUGUAAUGAGCCGGGGGAAUAAGGAGAGGGCAAGUCUGGUGUCAGCCGCCGCGGUAAUACCAGCUCUCCGAGUGGUAGGGAUGAUUAUUGGGCUUAAAGCGUCCGUAGCCGGCUUAGCAAGUCUCCUGUUAAAUUCAGCGACCUAAUCGUUGAGCCGCGGGAGAUACUACUAGGCUAGGAGGCGGGAGAGGCCGGCGGUAUUCUCGGGGUAGGGGUGAAAUCCUAUAAUCCCGGGAGGACCACCAGUGGCGAAGGCUGUCGGCUAGAACGCGCUCGACGGUGAGGGACGAAAGCUGGGGGAGCGAACCGGAUUAGAUACCCGGGUAGUCCCAGCUGUAAACGAUGCGGGCUAGGUGUCGGGGUGGCUACGAGCCACUUCAGUGCCGCAGGGAAGCCAUUAAGCCCGCCGCCUGGGGAGUACGGCCGCAAGGCUGAAACUUAAAGGAAUUGGCGGGGGAGCACCACAAGGCGUGAAGCUUGCGGUUCAAUUGGAUUCAACGCCGGG
This 945-nucleotide ribosomal RNA is filed under the name uncultured archaeon. RNAcentral's name for it is "bacterial SSU rRNA". It matches the Rfam family "Archaeal small subunit ribosomal RNA", at positions 1 to 922 of the family's 1478-position model. The record is from RNAcentral.